GAACAUUUGACAAUGAAGAGAUUUAUUGAUUUUUUUUUUUCUACUGAAAUGCCAGACAGUGUGCUAUAUGAUAGGAAACAGCUUUUUAAUUUUUAUUGAUUUAGCUUAUCAAAAAAAAUCUUUCCUCCUCACAUUAUGGAAAGAUACUUAGGGAUGCUUUUGGCAGUCUUAGAGCUUCGAACCCAGUGAAAAUCUCUCACAACUUAAACAUGUGAGUUACUGUAUACUUACUGUGUGAACUUGGUGGCCUCUGUGUGACCCUUUAUCUGUGGAGAUUUGAAGUUCACAUAGAGUUCUUGUAGUUAUCCCAUUUCCAUUUUCAAAACAGCUGCUUUGCUUAGAGAAAAGAUUUUGUUUUGUUCUGUUUUGUUUUUGUUGGCCCUUUGAUAAAACUGUUGCAGUUGCAGGCAGUUACAAAGCAUAGCAUUAUUUGGCAUAUCAUUAGAGUAUAGGAGAGCCUUUAAUCUACAUCUGGGACCCCUGUUUCAGCUUUCUUAGAAGAUUAAAAAAAAAAAAAAGCUAAAUUUAUUCAAAUAGACCAAAAGUGAUUGGAAAGAUUUUCUUUAUUGUUACUGUGUUGAUCAGGCAAAAAGGACUUCAGAAAUUGUAGUUUUUAUAACUGAACUUUUUGUCCAGGCUUGAAUUAUUUGUUCUUUGCCGUGUGCGAUAAGGAAAGGAUGGCGCAGGAAUGGCUGGAGGGCGGUUACCAGGAGGAACGAGUGGGGGUACAAGAUUACAGGAACACAUUGUUCCUUGUAGUGUGUGCAGAGUGUAGUUAAGGUGUUUUCCCUUCCAGAGUAUCUAGCACAGUUCUUGAACUAGGCCUCUACUGGCUAGUUUGGCCUUGUACCGUUGCCAGAUGCAUGUUUCUGAAUGUGCCGCUGGGACCGAUGAGGUGAUGGGUCUGACUUGUACCCGCUGCAGCUCCCGUCUGUGUGGGUGCAGGCGCAGUUUGUGCUCAGGCGCUCUGAAGUUCAGGGAACUCAAUAACCAGGAAAGCAAAGCUGGGUUGAGAGCACCACUUUGACCUAUCAGUCAAGUGCUAAGCCUGAAGUUCGAAAACACUGUUGGUAAGGCCUUUAGCCUUUGCCGGCGGCACUGCAAAUUAGUCACAGCUCUCAGGAAGGGUUAAUGUACCCUGCCUGGGUCCUGUUGGCUCAGAUCUGUUUCUUGCUCUUGCCUUGGGGAGGGACCGUGACCUGCAGGUGUAUUUCCCAGACAUUCUGUGAGUGGUCUUGCCGGCUGGGUUUGGCCAGUGGGAGCUACUGGGGAGUUUGGAAGCUGAAGGAAGGAGAACCUAGGUUCUCGGGUAAGGUUCUUGCCCCAGGCCGCGUCUCUGCAGCUGCUCCUCCUUUAUUCUUGCUCCUGCUCCUGCCACAGGGUCUCUGCUUCUAACUCCUGGCUUUCCUAAGCUCCGAGCUCUGGAAAUGCCUUCUGUCUUCAAACUCCCAACAGAAGGGAGAUCUGGUGGCUCCUCCUGGUCUCUGCGUUGUCUUACUGUUUCCUGUUUUUCUGUCACAUGCGUAACCAAUUCCCUAGGCCAAUUUCCCUCUACUUCAGAGCCUUAAAGAGAUGGCUGUUUACCCUGUUUAGACCCUGAUAUCUAUGGGAAAUGCAGGACACUAUCUUUUAAAAUCACACUGUAAGUCCUCAGACCCAACUGUGCAGUUCUAGGAAUUUAAUGUGGGAAUACAUUUGUGUUUGUGUGAGGCAAUAAAAGCAAAAGAUUAUUCAUUGCCUUGAAUGUCUUAUCAGCAUAAGACUCGGGAGAAUAAAUUCUUAAUAUAGGGGAUGGUGACUCCGAAGCUACAGAGUUGAGGAAAGAGGCAACUGAGUUGAUACAGACACACCUCCAUGAUGUUUUGCUAAACUACAGAAGCAAAGUACGAAAAUAUAAAUUGUGUGCUAGUUUCUGGGUUUUGUUUUUUUUUGUUUUUUAAGGAAGUGCUUGUAGAUGAAUGAACAUUUUCUGGAAGGUUAAACAAAGAACUAAGAACAAUGAUCACCUGUUCAGACAGGUUGAUGAAUUUAGACAGGAAGGAAAUGUUUGAUUCUCUGCCUUUUUAUUUCUCGAAAUUGGAUAAAGUUGAAAUAAAUCUGUCCGCACCAUGCUAAGAUUAGAAAACAAGUUCUUGGGAAAAGUAUUAUUCUGUGCUAGUCAAAACCGCCCCCACCUUCUUUUGUUGGGCACAGGGGAUAUCUCUAAUUCUUGUGCUUGAAGGCUGAGGCAGGGGACUUGCAAAGAGUUUAAGUCCAGCCUGAAGUACAGAGUGGGUCCUAAGGACAGUGUGGGCUACAGAAUAAAUCCUUCUCAAAACAAAACAAACAAAAAACUAUCUCUCCGAAACCAGGACUGGUGGGACACACCUUUAAUCCCAGGACAGAAGGCAGAGGCUGGUGAAUUUCUAUGAGUUUGAGGUCAGUCUUAUAUACAUAGUGAGUUCUGGGUCAGCAAGGACUAUGUAGAGAGAACUUGUCUCAAAAACAAAACAAAAUAUAACCCAAGACAAAACUCUCAAAGCAAGC
RNAcentral lists this long non-coding RNA (2526 nucleotides) under Mus musculus (house mouse). RNAcentral describes it as "long non-coding RNA chr5:143624902-143627428". Lineage: Eukaryota; Metazoa; Chordata; Mammalia; Rodentia; Muridae. The record is from RNAcentral.